GGGGAUCUUACUAGGUCCGGACCGAUUCUAUGAUCGUCGUACUGUGGGGUGCUACGUGAUUACUGGAUGAGUGGUGCAUGGCCGUUCUUAGUUCGUGGUGUUAAUUGUCUACUUAAUUGUCCGUAGUUUAAUACAUGUAUUGAACUAUGAACGAACGAGAUCGAGACCCGUGGUUGCGUGUGUUUGAAUUCGGUAUUACUACGGGGAUCGCGUAUUACUCCACGGUACGAUCGAAAGACUCGGCAAUAACAGGUCUGUGAUGCCCUCAGAUGUUCUAGGCUGCACACGUGCUACAGUGUGGUUCCGUGUCGUGUGUGUAUG
This 321-nucleotide ribosomal RNA is filed under the name Amphistegina lobifera. Its description in RNAcentral is "SSU rRNA". It matches the Rfam family "Eukaryotic small subunit ribosomal RNA", at positions 1208 to 1501 of the family's 1831-position model. The record is from RNAcentral. Lineage: Eukaryota; Foraminifera; Rotaliida; Amphisteginidae.